RNAcentral lists this ribosomal RNA (431 nucleotides) under uncultured bacterium. RNAcentral's name for it is "partial 16S ribosomal RNA". It matches the Rfam family "Bacterial small subunit ribosomal RNA", at positions 338 to 795 of the family's 1533-position model. The record is from RNAcentral.
CCUACGGGAGGCUGCAGUCGAGAAUCUUUCGCAAUGGGCGAAAGCCUGACGAAGCGACGCUGCGUGAGCGAUGAAGGCCUUCGGGUUGUAAAGCUCUUUCGCGUGGGAACGUGUACUACGAUAAGAAGCACCGGCUAACUCCGUGCCAGCAGCUGCGGUAAUACGGAGGGUGCAAGCAUUAAUCGGAAUUAUUGGGCGUAAAGGGCGCGUAGGCGGAUUCGUAAGUCAGAUGUGAAAUUCCGGGACUCAAUUCCGGAGCUGCAUUUGAAACUACAAAUCUCGAGGAUUGGCGGAGAGAACGGAAUUCCACGUGUAGCGGUGAAAUGCGUAGAUAUGUGGAAGAACACCGGUGGCGAAAGCGGUUCUCUACUAUACCUGACGCUGAGGCGCGAGAGCAAGGGGAUCAAACAGGAUUAGAUACCCUUGUAGUC